RNAcentral lists this ribosomal RNA (1428 nucleotides) under metagenome. Its description in RNAcentral is "bacterial SSU rRNA". It matches the Rfam family "Bacterial small subunit ribosomal RNA". The record is from RNAcentral.
GUGGCGCACGGGUGAGUAACGCGUGGGUAACCUGCCCUCAAAUCUGGAAUAACUUCGCGAAAGCGUUGCUAAUACCGGAUAUCGUCCUUAAAGCUUCGGCCUUUUGGAUGAAAGAUGACCUCUUCAUGAAAGUUGUCGUUUGGGGAGGGGCUCGCGUACCAUUAGCUUGUUGGUGGGGUAAUGGCCUACCAAGGCGACGAUGGUUAGCUGGUCUGAGAGGAUGAUCAGCCACUGGAACUGGAACACGGUCCAGACUCCUACGGGAGGCAGCAGUGAGGAAUUUUGCGCAAUGGGGGAAACCCUGACGCAGCAACGCCGCGUGAGUGAAGAAGGCUUUCGGGUCGUAAAGCUCAGUCAAGUGGGAAAAAAGUUCCACGGUAAAUAACCGCGGGAUCUGAUGGUACCACUGGAGGAAGCACCGGCUAACUCCGUGCCAGCAGCCGCGGUAAUACGGAGGGUGCAAGCGUUGAUCGGAAUUACUGGGCGUAAAGAGCGUGUAGGCGGUAUGGUAAGUCAGAUGUGAAAGCCCUGGGCUUAACCCAGGAAGUGCAUUUGAUACUGCCAUUCUUGAGUAUGGGAGAGGAGAGUGGAAUUCCCAGUGUAGAGGUGAAAUUCGUAGAUAUUGGGAGGAACACCCGUGGCGAAGGCGACUCUCUGGACCAAUACUGGCGCUGAGACGCGAAAGCGUGGGGAGCAAACAGGAUUAGAUACCCUGGUAGUCCACGCCGUAAACGAUGAGAACUAGGUGUAGCGGGUAUUGACCCCUGCUGUGCCGAAGUUAACGCAUUAAGUUCUCCGCCUGGGGAGUACGGCCGCAAGGCUAAAACUCAAAGGAAUUGACGGGGACCCGCACAAGCGGUGGAGCAUGUGGUUUAAUUCGACGCAACGCGAAGAACCUUACCUGGAUUUGACAUCCUCUGCUAACCCCGGAAACGGGGUCUUUCCGACUUGUCGGAACAGAGUGACAGGUGCUGCAUGCUGUCGUCAGCUCGUGUCGUGAGAUGUUGGGUUAAGUCCCGCAACGAGCGCAACCCUUGUUUUUAGUUGCCAGUAUUAAGUUAGGCACUCUAAAGAUACUGCCUCGGUUAACGGGGAGGAAGGUGGGGAUGACGUCAAGUCCUCAUGGCCUUUAUAUCCAGGGCUACACACGUGCUACAAUGGGCUGUACAAAGGGUUGCAACACCGCGAGGUGAAGCUAAUCUCAAAAAGCAGUUCUCAGUUCGGAUUGAAGUCUGCAACUCGACUUCAUGAAGGUGGAAUCGCUAGUAAUCGUGGAUCAGCAUGCCACGGUGAAUACGUUCCCGGGUCUUGUACACACCGCCCGUCACACCACGAAAGUCGGCUGUACCAGAAGUUGCUGGGCUAACCCUUCGGGGAGGCAGGUACCUAAGGUACGGUCGGUAAUUGGGGUGAAGUCGUAACAAGGUA